This is a long non-coding RNA of Terrapene triunguis (Three-toed box turtle), 672 nucleotides long. RefSeq lists it as uncharacterized. Lineage: Eukaryota; Metazoa; Chordata; Testudines; Emydidae. The transcript is spliced from 3 exons. The record is from RefSeq and is a predicted model, not a curated record.
CUGUUCUGUAAGUGUGUGCCGGAGUGAAAAGAUCCAGGAAUCAAACAGGGUAUUCCCUCAGGAUACUCUAGAUGAGAUGGCCUGACUGUCACCUUGGAAGAGCACUCCUCUAUUCUCUGAUUUCAGGGGACUUCCUGGACUCCUACAGUUAAUGAAAAACUCCUCAGUAUACAUGAUAAUAGAGAAGACAUGGUACUGACCUAACAUGUGUAAGGUGUCUGAUAAUCCCCCAUUGACUUCAAUAGGCACAGGAUCAACUCCUAAAUACUUCAUGGUGAUUUUUUUAAAGUUUAAUUUGCAUUUUAUUCACAGCUAAAACUAAGAAAUCCAUCUAAGCUUUAUAUGCCAACAAAACCUCAUUGUGAGAGCACAACUGAUUAGGCCGAAAUCUUCUGCAGAAUGAAGCAAAAGUAAUAUAUGAAAGACAUGUGUUACUAUUUUUAAAGGUAAAGUCAGAGAAAAUGUAUCCUAACAGGUGACUAACAUCUAUACAGCCUGGAGACUUGCCAUUCAAACCACCUCUUCUUGUCACUAAUAUUCCAGCUAUUUUUUUUUCUAAUUUAGUCAGAACUAAAAAGAAAAAAGAGACUUUCCUUUUCUGUUAACUGCAGUUCAUGGAGAGAAUGUAAAGCAGUUAAUUUAGCCCAUAAUGACGCUUGCAAUUGGUCCAUU